CUUCGUUUUUUUUUUUUGUAUAAUUUAUUGAUUUUACACGUCCUGCGCGGGUUACUUGUGUCAUUUGGAAGGAAGGAACCGCUGGCUAUAAUCGAACUGCUCGACUACGGGUGCACGAGGCAACACGGAGGAAGCGGUAAAAGAAACGAAAGCCACGAAGAGCCCGCUGAGCAGCUUUGGAAAAGACGAAAGACUGCAUUGGUAUGUUGCGGAAGCCACGAAAAUUACGAAGAGUCUCAAGUCGUCCAAUGGGGUGGCAACAGCAGAGGACUAAAAGACUGUGUGUGUAGCAAGUUCGACAACACCGUUAUUCAGCUGAAGAACAGUUUGUCCUCGAUGGUGUCAAGAGAUCUCAAAUAAAUGUUCUAUGGUGAUA
This is a long non-coding RNA of Ornithodoros turicata, 376 nucleotides long. RefSeq lists it as uncharacterized. NCBI's taxonomy places the organism in Eukaryota, Metazoa, Arthropoda, Arachnida, Ixodida, Argasidae. The transcript is spliced from 4 exons. The record is from RefSeq and is a predicted model, not a curated record.